Molecule: ribosomal RNA, 229 nt
Filed under: uncultured bacterium
Lineage: Bacteria
Description: partial 16S ribosomal RNA
Rfam family: Bacterial small subunit ribosomal RNA
Source: RNAcentral
CGUGUAGGCGGACUAGCAAGUCAGAGGUGAAAACCGCAGGCUCAACCUGCGGCCUGCCUUUGAAACUGUUAGUCUUGAGUACGGGAGAGGAAAGCGGAAUUCCAGGUGUAGCGGUGACAUGCGUAGAUAUCUGGAAGAACAUCGGUGGCGAAGGCGGCUUUCUGGACCGAUACUGACGCUGAGGCGCGAAAGCCGGGGGAGCGAACAGGAUUAGAUACCCUGGUAGUCC